This 460-nucleotide ribosomal RNA is filed under the name uncultured bacterium. RNAcentral's name for it is "partial 16S ribosomal RNA". It matches the Rfam family "Bacterial small subunit ribosomal RNA", at positions 338 to 795 of the family's 1533-position model. The record is from RNAcentral.
CCUACGGGGGGCUGCAGUGAGGAAUAUUGGUCAAUGGGCGGAAGCCUGAACCAGCCAAGUAGCGUGCAGGAUGACGGCCCUACGGGUUGUAAACUGCUUUUAUACGGGAAUAACGCGCCUUACGUGUAGGGCUUUGCAUGUACCGUAUGAAUAAGGACCGGCUAAUUCCGUGCCAGCAGCCGCGGUAAUACGGAAGGUCCGGGCGUUAUCCGGAUUUAUUGGGUUUAAAGGGAGCGUAGGCCGCAUGUCAAGCGUGCUGUAAAAUGUCCGGGCGCAACCCGUGCCUUGCAGCGCGAACUGGCGUGCUUGAGUCCGCGGAAAGCAGGCGGAAUUCGUCGUGUAGCGGUGAAAGGCUUAGAUAUGACGAAGAACCCCGAUUGCGAAGGCAGCUUGCUGCAGCGGAACUGACGCUGAUGCUCGAAAGCGCGGGUAUCGAACAGGAUUAGAUACCCCGGUAGUC